Molecule: microRNA precursor, 80 nt
Filed under: Populus trichocarpa (black cottonwood)
Lineage: Eukaryota; Viridiplantae; Streptophyta; Magnoliopsida; Malpighiales; Salicaceae
Description: miR7820 stem-loop (ptc-MIR7820)
Source: miRBase by way of RNAcentral
UUUGUUACUAAUCAUAUAGGUUGAUCCUCGUCAAUCUAAAUUCGAUUGACGAGGAUCAACCUAUAUGAUUAGUAACAAAU